This 348-nucleotide unclassified non-coding RNA is filed under the name soil metagenome. RNAcentral describes it as "partial contains 5.8S ribosomal RNA, internal transcribed spacer 2, and large subunit ribosomal RNA". The stretch from base 1 to 120 matches the Rfam family "5.8S ribosomal RNA", at positions 35 to 154 of the family's 154-position model. The record is from RNAcentral.
GAUGAAGAACGUAGCAAAAUGCGAUAAGUAAUGUGAAUUGCAGAAUUCAGUGAAUCAUCGAAUCUUUGAACGCACAUUGCGCCCGCUGGUAUUCCGGCGGGCAUGCCUGUUCGAGCGUCAUUUCAACCCUCAAGCCCCUGGGUUUGGUGUUGGGGAUCGGCUCUGCCCUUCUGGGCGGUGCCGCCCCCGAAAUACAUUGGCGGUCUCGCUGCAGCCUCCAUUGCGUAGUAGCUAACACCUCGCAACUGGAACGCGGCGCGGCCAUGCCGUAAAACCCCAACUUCUGAAUGUUGACCUCGGAUCAGGUAGGAAUACCCGCUGAACUUAAGCAUAUCAAUAAGCGGAGGA